GGAAAAUAAAGUAUGUUAAAAGUCCGGUCCAUAGUCUAAAGGGAGCAGGUGGGCAACCAGACUCCUCCAAUGCAAUGUGGCAAGAUUGCUCUCGUCACACAUUCAAACACACAAACACUGCUUAGUGCUAAAUACAACCCUGCAAGGAUGGGCAAAUAGUAGAUCCUCAGCUGGCAAUGCAUUUGAGUUGGGAUAUGUACCCCAGAUGGGGAUAUAGCUUUUGGCAAUCCUAGCGAUAGGAAUUUCUUGCACCAGGGCCCUCCGUUCUGCC
Molecule: non-coding RNA, 271 nt
Organism: Pelobates cultripes (western spadefoot toad)
Lineage: Eukaryota; Metazoa; Chordata; Amphibia; Anura; Pelobatidae
Source: the annotation of a GenBank genome assembly